This is a long non-coding RNA of Vespa mandarinia (Asian giant hornet), 499 nucleotides long. The record is from RefSeq and is a predicted model, not a curated record. Lineage: Eukaryota; Metazoa; Arthropoda; Insecta; Hymenoptera; Vespidae.
AGUAUUUAUCUGUAUCUAUUCAUUUUUAUUUAAAAACGUCUAUUAAUAUAGAAUUUAUAAUUGAAAUGAAAUAUUACGAAUCGAUAGAAGUCGGAAAUUAUACGAAAUCUUCGGACGAUUACUAAGUAGAAGAUAGUGAAGCGACAAAUUUGCAACAAACACACGAGUUCUUACAAAAUAUUUGGGACAUCGUUGGAAGUUAGAAAUAACUAUGCGAAAGAAGAAAAAACUGUUUACACUACUCGUUGUUUCGCUAUCUGAAAGCAAUUAUGGCAAUCAGUUCAACUUACCAGUUAUUAUUUUAGAUGUGUUCACACAUGUUUACACAUAUUCUGUUACACAUGUCACAAAAGUUUCUCUUGCAAGAAAUGUUGCAUAUUACUUGCUAGUGCAUCUGCGACAUAUCCGUUGCCGUAUCAAAGAUAGAAAAAAGGGAAAAAAUCUAAAAAAAUGUUUAUCAUUAUGAAAAAAAUUGCCAGUGUCCACCAAUGACUUCACU